GAUGAAGAACGUAGCAAAAUGCGAUACUUGGUGUGAAUUGCAGAAUCCCGUGAACCAUCGAGUUUUUGAACGCAAGUUGCGCCCGAAGCCUUUUGGCCGAGGGCACGUCUGCCUGGGCGUCACGCAUCGCGUCGCCCCCCACAAUUCUCCGUAAAAGGAACAUGUGUUUUGGGGGCGGAUAUUGGUCUCCCGUGCUCAUGGCGUGGUUGGCCGAAAUAGGAGUCCUUUCGAUGGACGCACGAACUAGUGGUGGUCGUAAAAACCCUCGUCUUUUGUUUCGUGCUGUUGCUCGCAAGGUAAACUCUUUAAAUACCCCAAUGUGUCGUCUCUUGACGACGCUUCGACCGCGUCCCCAGGUCAGGCGGGACUACCCGCUGAGUUUAAGCAUAUCAAUAAGCGGAGGA
RNAcentral lists this unclassified non-coding RNA (404 nucleotides) under soil metagenome. Its description in RNAcentral is "partial contains 5.8S ribosomal RNA, internal transcribed spacer 2, and large subunit ribosomal RNA". The stretch from base 1 to 122 matches the Rfam family "5.8S ribosomal RNA", at positions 35 to 154 of the family's 154-position model. The record is from RNAcentral.